Molecule: ribosomal RNA, 253 nt
Filed under: uncultured bacterium
Lineage: Bacteria
Description: partial 16S ribosomal RNA
Rfam family: Bacterial small subunit ribosomal RNA
Source: RNAcentral
UACGUAGGGGGCGAGCGUUGUCCGGAAUUAUUGGGCGUAAAGAGCGUGUAGGCGGUUCGGUAAGUCUGCCGUGAAAACCCAGGGCUCAACCCUGGGCGUGCGGUGGAUACUGCCGGGCUAGAGGGUGGUAGAGGCGAGUGGAAUUCCCGGUGUAGCGGUGAAAUGCGCAGAUAUCGGGAGGAACACCUAUGGCGAAGGCAGCUCGCUGGGACGUUACUGACGCUGAGACGCGAAAGCGUGGGGAGCAAACAGG